This is a long non-coding RNA of Quercus lobata, 477 nucleotides long. RefSeq lists it as uncharacterized. NCBI's taxonomy places the organism in Eukaryota, Viridiplantae, Streptophyta, Magnoliopsida, Fagales, Fagaceae. The record is from RefSeq and is a predicted model, not a curated record. The transcript is spliced from 4 exons.
GGGUAUAUAUAUAUAUAUAUAUAUAUAUAUUGAUAAGCAGGGCUGGGAUCAAUGUAGUCUUCUCUUGGUUAUGGAACAGGAAUACUAAUGGCUGUUUGAUUGGCAUGGUGGGAAUGGGUUUGAAGAAAUUCACCUAACCCUGCCUGUUGCCUUCCAAUGUGGAAAACUUGGUGUUUUUUGGAGGAAAAGUGAUGAUUGUGCCUCCAAGUAAGGAAGACUUGCAAAAUAUAAUAAAAGCCUGGUAUCCAAAUUUAGAGCCAAUUUCUGAGAAACUCAUAGGAACCUUUGAAAGGGUUAACUCUUCUCCUGUACAUCAACUAGCGGGAUUCCACCCCAGAAAUUCUGCUGUUAGUUUUCUCAGCAGAUUCUCAUUAAGGGAUCUUCUUAAAUGGUGCAAGCGAAUCUUAGGUUUAGGCUUUAGCUUCAAUGGAGAUGGUUUGUCAGCUUAUGAGUGUAAUUACUGAGAUAUGGGUUCCC